GGGAGAGGGAACCUGGUCCAGCUGAGCCUCUCAGGACUAAGAGGGAUGACAACUUCUAACAUCGAAGCAUAAUAAUGUCAAGGACUUCCUGUCUCCUGCAUUUAGUGUGAUUACAUCAAGGUUCUGCCAUUUAGAAUAUCUACUACUGUACUUGAGUGGCGGGACCCCAUCUGGUGCAGACCUGGAUAACCCUCGCCUGCUGCCACUAUCUCUCUGCCCUAUUACUCUAUAUAAGACUUCAAGUAAUAUUGAGUAAAAACAGAGAGAGUGGACAGCCUUGUCUUGUUCCUGAUUUUAGAGGAAACGCUUGGAGUUUCUCCCCAUCAGGUUAUAGUCCAUCAUUACCAGAGAAGUCACAACAGCAUGGGCUAACAAUGGUCACGUCACAUCUACAGUCAAGAAGCGGAAAUGGAUGACCUAAUGUUCGUGUGCUUAUGCCUCAGCUCACUUUGUCCCCUGACAUAGUCUACCCAGCCCAUGUUUCCUUACCAUAACUACAAUAAUCAAGAUAAUUCUCCAGCGGCUAACCUGAUCUAGACAGUUCCUCAUGAAGACUCUCUGGCCAGGUGAUCCUAGACUAUGUCAGAAUGACAAUUAAAGUUGGCCAUCAUGGCCCCAAUCAA
Molecule: long non-coding RNA, 623 nt
Organism: Mastomys coucha (southern multimammate mouse)
Lineage: Eukaryota; Metazoa; Chordata; Mammalia; Rodentia; Muridae
Exons: 5
Source: RefSeq, a predicted model, not a curated record